GAGGAAUAUUGGUUAAUGGACGAGAGUCUGAACCAGCCAAGUAGCGUGAAGGAUGACUGCCCUAUGGGUUGUAAACUUCUUUUAUACGGGAAUAAAGUGAGGCACGUGUGCCUUUUUGUAUGUACCGUAUGAAUAAGGAUCGGCUAACUCCGUGCCAGCAGUCGCGGUAAUACGGAGGAUCCGAGCGUUAUCCGGAUUUAUUGGGUUUAAAGGGAGCGUAGGCGGACGCUUAAGUUAGUUGUGAAAGUUUGCGGCUCAACCGUAAAAUUGCAGUUGAUACUAGGUGUCUUGAGUACAGUAGAGGCAGGCGGAAUUCGUGGUGUAGCGGUGAAAUGCUUAGAUAUCACGAAGAACUCCGAUUGCGAAGGCAGCCUGCUGGACUGUAACUGACGCUGAUGCUCGAAAGUGUGGGUAUCAAAC
RNAcentral lists this ribosomal RNA (420 nucleotides) under uncultured bacterium. RNAcentral describes it as "bacterial SSU rRNA". It matches the Rfam family "Bacterial small subunit ribosomal RNA", at positions 356 to 773 of the family's 1533-position model. The record is from RNAcentral.